Molecule: ribosomal RNA, 576 nt
Filed under: uncultured Gammaproteobacteria bacterium
Lineage: Bacteria; Pseudomonadati; Pseudomonadota; Gammaproteobacteria
Description: bacterial SSU rRNA
Rfam family: Bacterial small subunit ribosomal RNA
Source: RNAcentral
GGCGGACGGGUGCGUAACGCGUAGGAAUCUACCUCGUAGUGGGGGACAACCCGGCGAAAGCCGGGCUAAUACCGCAUACGAUCUACGGAUGAAAGCAGGGGACCGUAAGGCCUUGCGCUAUGAGAUGAGCCUGCGUCGGAUUAGCUAGUUGGUGAGGUAAUGGCUCACCAAGGCGACGAUCCGUAGCUGGUCUGAGAGGACGACCAGCCACACUGGGACUGAGACACGGCCCAGACUCCUACGGGAGGCAGCAGUGGGGAAUAUUGGACAAUGGGGGCAACCCUGAUCCAGCAAUGCCGCGUGUGUGAAGAAGGCCUUCGGGUUGUAAAGCACUUUCGAUGGGGACAAACAAGUUCGACCUAAUACGUCGGACCCUGAUGGUACCCAGAGAAGAAGCACCGGCUAACUCUGUGCCAGCAGCCGCGGUAAUACAGAGGGUGCAAGCGUUAAUCGGAAUUACUGGGCGUAAAGGGUGCGUAGGUGGUUUGCUAAGUCAGGUGUGAAAGCCCGGGGCUCAACCUCGGAAUUGCAUUUGAUACUGGCGAACUAGAGUGUGGUAGAGGGUAGUGGAAUUCC